Molecule: ribosomal RNA, 253 nt
Filed under: uncultured bacterium
Lineage: Bacteria
Description: partial 16S ribosomal RNA
Rfam family: Bacterial small subunit ribosomal RNA
Source: RNAcentral
UACGUAGGUGGCGAGCGUUGUCCGGAUUUACUGGGCGUAAAGAGCGCGCAGGCGGUCGUAUAAGUCGCGUGUGAAAGCCCCCGGCUCAACUGGGGAGGGUCACGCGAUACUGUUCGACUCGAAGGCAGGAGAGGGAAGUGGAAUUCCCGGUGUAGUGGUGAAAUUCGUAGAUAUUAGGAAGAACACCAGUGGCGAAGGCGGCUCACUGGUCCGGUACUGACGCUGAGGUGCGAAAGCGUGGGGAGCAAACAGG